RNAcentral lists this transfer RNA (75 nucleotides) under Bacteriophage sp. RNAcentral describes it as "tRNA-Met". It matches the Rfam family "tRNA". From Rfam's summary of the family: Transfer RNA (tRNA) molecules are approximately 80 nucleotides in length. Their secondary structure includes four short double-helical elements and three loops (D, anti-codon, and T loops). Further hydrogen bonds mediate the characteristic L-shaped molecular structure. tRNAs have two regions of fundamental functional importance: the anti-codon, which is responsible for specific mRNA codon recognition, and the 3' end, to which the tRNAs corresponding amino acid is attached (by aminoacyl-tRNA synthetases). tRNAs cope with the degeneracy of the genetic code in two manners: having more than one tRNA (with a specific anti-codon) for a particular amino acid; and 'wobble' base-pairing, i.e. permitting non-standard base-pairing at the 3rd anti-codon position. The record is from RNAcentral. RNAcentral also lists the same sequence under 2 other names.
GGACUCUUAGAUCAGUCCGGUUAGAUCAGCCGCCUCAUAAGCGGUGUGUCCUCGGUUCAAAUCCGAGAGAGUCCA